Molecule: ribosomal RNA, 203 nt
Filed under: Vibrio cholerae
Lineage: Bacteria; Pseudomonadati; Pseudomonadota; Gammaproteobacteria; Vibrionales; Vibrionaceae
Description: partial 23S ribosomal RNA
Rfam family: Bacterial large subunit ribosomal RNA
Source: RNAcentral
GUGUCGCCAGACGCAUUGCCCGGUAGCUAAGUUCGGAAUUGAUAAGCGCUGAAAGCAUCUAAGCGCGAAGCGAGCCCUGAGAUGAGUCUUCCCUGAUACUUUAAGUAUCCUAAAGGGUUGUUCGAGACUAGAACGUUGAUAGGCAGGGUGUGUAAGCGUUGUGAGGCGUUGAGCUAACCUGUACUAAUUGCCCGUGAGGCUUA